GAAAAAUAAAUACAAAAAUAAACAGUAUAAAAGAUUACAGGAUGAUGUUGGUUCUAUGCGUGUUCCUGGAAUGAAAGGGAGCUUGGAGUUGUGAUCUGCCUGUUGUCGAAAGAUCUCGCCUUUUUUUUUCUUCUCAUUGAAUUCUUUCUUUUUUAUUAGUGUGUGUGUUCUAAACAAAACU
RNAcentral lists this non-coding RNA (181 nucleotides) under uncultured eukaryote. The record is from RNAcentral.